RNAcentral lists this transfer RNA (73 nucleotides) under Archangium sp. RNAcentral's name for it is "tRNA-Asn". It matches the Rfam family "tRNA". From Rfam's summary of the family: Transfer RNA (tRNA) molecules are approximately 80 nucleotides in length. Their secondary structure includes four short double-helical elements and three loops (D, anti-codon, and T loops). Further hydrogen bonds mediate the characteristic L-shaped molecular structure. tRNAs have two regions of fundamental functional importance: the anti-codon, which is responsible for specific mRNA codon recognition, and the 3' end, to which the tRNAs corresponding amino acid is attached (by aminoacyl-tRNA synthetases). tRNAs cope with the degeneracy of the genetic code in two manners: having more than one tRNA (with a specific anti-codon) for a particular amino acid; and 'wobble' base-pairing, i.e. permitting non-standard base-pairing at the 3rd anti-codon position. The record is from RNAcentral. Lineage: Bacteria; Pseudomonadati; Myxococcota; Myxococcia; Myxococcales; Archangiaceae.
GGGUCCAUGGCAUGUCCGGGAUUGCGGCCGCCUGUUAAGCGGCAUGAGCUGGGUUCGACUCCCAGUGGGCCCU